GAUAAACUUAUUAGAGGCUAAG
RNAcentral lists this non-coding RNA (22 nucleotides) under Rattus norvegicus (Norway rat). The record is from RNAcentral. Lineage: Eukaryota; Metazoa; Chordata; Mammalia; Rodentia; Muridae.